This 104-nucleotide non-coding RNA is filed under the name Volvox carteri f. nagariensis. RNAcentral describes it as "Eukaryotic large subunit ribosomal RNA". It matches the Rfam family "Eukaryotic large subunit ribosomal RNA", at positions 2880 to 2984 of the family's 3401-position model. The record is from Rfam by way of RNAcentral. Lineage: Eukaryota; Viridiplantae; Chlorophyta; Chlorophyceae; Chlamydomonadales; Volvocaceae.
GAUGUCGGCUCUUCCUAUCAUUAUGACACAGCAUUCAUCAAGUGUUGGAUGGUUCACACGAUAACAGGGAACGUGAGCUGGGUUGAAACCGUCGUGAGAUGGUC